Corapipo altera (White-ruffed manakin) is the source of this 303-nucleotide long non-coding RNA. RefSeq lists it as uncharacterized. The transcript has 3 exons. The record is from RefSeq and is a predicted model, not a curated record. NCBI's taxonomy places the organism in Eukaryota, Metazoa, Chordata, Aves, Passeriformes, Pipridae.
GUUUAAUUUUUACUCCUGUGUAUUCUGCAAUUGCAAGAGAUUCCAUGAAGAGGUUGCUUAUUACCCUGCUGAGCAGUUUAGAGAGAGUUUGAUACAAUGAUUUUCAAGCAUGGAAGACUCUGGAGUGUCAUUUUCUUCAACGAUCCAAAUGGGUGUAGGAGAAUAUACCCUAAAUUUUCGUUACAGGGGCCAGGACCAGUUUAUUACUGUAUGGGUGCAAUCAAAACUGUGUGUAUUCUACACUCUCUAUGUAAUUUCUGAUGGACUGCUAAUAAUGGGUCAUUUGCAGUAGCUACCUAGGGC